Molecule: transfer-messenger RNA, 122 nt
Filed under: Armatimonadota bacterium
Lineage: Bacteria; Bacillati; Armatimonadota
Description: Armatimonadetes bacterium (wastewater metagenome) partial transfer-messenger RNA
Rfam family: transfer-messenger RNA
About the family: Bacterial tmRNA, also known as 10Sa RNA or SsrA, is named for its dual tRNA and mRNA-like properties. Its role is to liberate the mRNA from a stalled ribosome. To accomplish this part of the tmRNA is used as a reading frame that ends in a translation stop signal.
Source: RNAcentral
CUGGCGCAGAGGUAUCCCGCCCGAGGGAGACCGAAGCGCGAGAACCAAAUCUCGGGAUACGCUCGUAGAUGCUCAUGUGCGCUGUUCUCUGGACCGGGGUUCGAGUCCCCGCGCCUCCACCA